This 253-nucleotide ribosomal RNA is filed under the name uncultured bacterium. RNAcentral's name for it is "partial 16S ribosomal RNA". It matches the Rfam family "Bacterial small subunit ribosomal RNA", at positions 524 to 776 of the family's 1533-position model. The record is from RNAcentral.
UACGUAGGGGGCAAGCGUUGUCCGGAAUCAUUGGGCGUAAAGAGCGUGUAGGCGGCCCGGUAAGUCCGCUGUGAAAGUCCAGGGCUCAACCCUGGAAAGCCGGUGGAUACUGUCGGGCUAGAGUCCGGAAGAGGCGAGUGGAAUUCCUGGUGUAGCGGUGGAAUGCGCAGAUAUCAGGAGGAACACCGAUGGCGAAGGCAGCUCGCUGGGACGGUACUGACGCUGAGGCGCGAAAGCGUGGGGAGCGAACAGG